GUGAGUCAUCGAAUCUUUGAACGCACCUUGCGCUCCUUGGUAUUCCGAGGAGCAUGCCUGUUUGAGUGUCAUUAAAUUCUCAACCCCGAAUCGAUUUGUUUCGAGCUCGGUGGCUUGGACUUGGAGUGUGCUGGCCCCUACCCGGGUCGGCUCCUCUUAAAAGCAUCAGCGGAAGAUAACCUUUGGUCUUUUAGCUGGUCGAUCAGUUGUGAUAAUCAUGUUGCGCUGUUACCCUUGAUCAGAGUUUUCGCUUAUAAUCGUCCAUCGGACAACAUUCAACCAAUUUGACCUCAAAUCAGGUAGGAUCUACCCGCUGAACUUAAGCAUAUCAAUAAGCGGAGG
Molecule: ribosomal RNA, 342 nt
Filed under: uncultured fungus
Lineage: Eukaryota; Fungi
Description: eukaryotic LSU rRNA
Rfam family: 5.8S ribosomal RNA (bases 1-71)
Source: RNAcentral